UCUGAAUUCAAGGUGACAUCCAGGCCAUACUACUGAAAUCUCUAGGGGAAAAUUCCACCUUAUCUUUUCCCGCUUCUGGUGGCUUCAGGCACCACCUGCCACGUUGGCUUGUGGCUGCUUAACUCUUAAUUUCUCACUCCUUUGCCUUCAUACGGCCUUCUCCUUUUUCUCCCUAUCUCUCCUUUGUCUCUUAUUCAGACAUUUAUCAUUAUAUUUAGAGCUUGCCCAGAUAUCCAGAAUCAUCUCAUCUACAGAUCCUUCAUUUAAUCAACAAAGGCUCUCUUUAAAAAAUGAGGUCAUAUUCACAGAUACAGUUGUUAAUCUUUCUAGCUACUGACAUGCUUUGGCUCUGUGUCCCCAUCCAAAUUGCACCUCAAAUUUUAAUCCUCACAUUUUGAGAGAGGGACCUGGUGGGUGAUUUGCUGAUGAGGGUGGUUUCCCCUAUGCUGUUCUCAUGAUAGUGAGGGAGUUCUCGUGAGAUCUGCUGGUUUAGAAGUGGCAAUUUCCUCUGUCCUCUCCCCUGCUGCCUUGUGAAAAAGGUACCUUCUCUUCUUUUGCCUUCUGCCAUGAUUGCAAGUUUCCUGAGACCUCCCCAGAAUGCAGAAUGGUAAUGAGUUUAUUAAGUAAUGGAAGCAUCGCCAUACUGAAUAACAAGAGUUUUUUUCUUGGAGUCUUCCAGGUUUUCAGGAUUACACCUAUAGAAAGAUGGAAACUGAGAAGGCUAAAAGACAGAUGCUGAGUACCCUCAUGUUCAUUGAGGGUAAUGUUUUUGUAUUCAUUGCCACUUCUGCUUCUGAAAGCCAUUGAAUGUGCAUUUCAUGUCUGAUACUGGGCAAGCUAUGGUCUGAAAUUCUCCUGAAUAGUGGCUUCUUUCAUGUUCUGCCUGCAGUAGGAACAAUGUGAUAGUAUAAGCUCCUCGGGAGCAGAAAUUUUGUUUUUUCUGAAUAUCUGCAAUACACAGCAAAAAUCAUGUGCAUUUAGGAUCCAUUUAACAACAAAUGGCAGAAAACAUAGCUACAAAUUGGCUUAACUAAUAAAAGCCAGUGGUGUGGAUGACCCAAGAGCAGCCAGGAUGGGAGACAGCUAGACAGAGCCUGCAAGCCCCUCUGGAAUACUUUCACUAUCAGAACACAAUGAAUGACAAACCUUUAAAAACUCCUAUGAGUUACAGAGAAAGCUUCCAGUGAAGAUGGUAGUAUUGGCUGAGUCUAGGAAAUGGAAGAAAGGAAAAACAGAACAGCAGGAGCAAAAAAAUAAAGGCAACAUUCUAGCAUGUUAACUAUGUGUGUCCUUAUUUCUUUCAUCUUAAAAUUCUAAUUUUAAAAUGUUAAAAUGAUAAAUACUAUAUAACAUUAUCGGAUGUUUAAGAAAUGUAAUAAAUAAAUAUCACGCACCUCACUACCAAAACACAUCAUUCAUUUUAAUUUUGC
This 1430-nucleotide long non-coding RNA is filed under the name Homo sapiens (human). RNAcentral's name for it is "HSALNT0147639". Lineage: Eukaryota; Metazoa; Chordata; Mammalia; Primates; Hominidae. The record is from RNAcentral.